CCUACGGGCGGCAGCAGUGGGGAAUAUUGCACAAUGGGGGAAACCCUGAUGCAGCGACGCCGCGUGAGUGAAGAAGUAUUUCGGUAUGUAAAGCUCUAUCAGCAGGGAAGAAAAUGACAGUACCUGACCAAGAAGCCCCGGCUAACUACGUGCCAGCAGCCGCGGUAAUACGUAGGGGGCAAGCGUUAUCCGGAUUUACUGGGUGUAAAGGGAGCGUAGACGGUUAUGUAAGUCUGGAGUGAAAUGCCGGGGCUUAACCCCGGAACUGCUUUGGAAACUGUGCAGCUAGAGUGCAGGAGAGGUAAGUGGAAUUCCUAGUGUAGCGGUGAAAUGCGUAGAUAUUAGGAGGAACACCAGUGGCGAAGGCGGCUUACUGGACUGUAACUGACGUUGAGGCUCGAAAGCGUGGGGAGCAAACAGGAUUAGAUACCCCAGUAGUC
This 440-nucleotide ribosomal RNA is filed under the name uncultured bacterium. RNAcentral describes it as "partial 16S ribosomal RNA". It matches the Rfam family "Bacterial small subunit ribosomal RNA", at positions 338 to 795 of the family's 1533-position model. The record is from RNAcentral.